Long non-coding RNA from Pyrus x bretschneideri (Chinese white pear), 1157 nucleotides. RefSeq lists it as uncharacterized. The transcript is spliced from 3 exons. Lineage: Eukaryota; Viridiplantae; Streptophyta; Magnoliopsida; Rosales; Rosaceae. The record is from RefSeq and is a predicted model, not a curated record.
UUAAUGAUAUUCUUCUUUAUUCGUAACUUAUACGUGGAAAAUCUUAUAUUCGAUUAUCAUUACAUGUGAAUUUGAAUUAUAUUACAUCUAGCCAUUAUUAUUAUUAUCAAAACAUGUUCUAUCUCAUCUCACAUACCAAACGUACUUUUGAUGGUAGAUAAUAUCAUUUAUUCCAACAACUUAAAAAAAAAAAAAAAAAAGGAAAAGAAUUAAGAUGUAAAAAAUGGGAGAAACCAUUUUCUUUCCUCCUCCCUCCUCUUUUGGGCUGCAACAGGAGCCCCAUUAAACAGCAAGCCGACGACUGCCGAUUGCCGACGCAACAGCUCUGUCGUCUACGGGUCACCAAAGGCUCUCAAACUACACAUCCAGAAUGCUCUUGCCGUCCUUUAUCCAAUCCCCAAGUUAGUUUCUAUAAAUUCGUAGGCGAUUUUCCUCAACUUCAAAUUUAAGAAAUGGUGACCCAGGGUUUUCCGGCCAACUUCCGGCCAAUAUCGCCGGAAUUUGACCUCGACCCAAGAGGUAGAAAUGAUCCUCUUCUCGUGGGCUGUUCUCCAAUUAGAUGUUUAAGACUUAAUGUGGAGGAAAUUCUCUCUUGAAGUUGCUUGAACUUACCUAUUUGGUAGACAAGGCUACUCAAGGGAGAGCUAGCCUGAGGUGAGACAUGCUAACUGAAAAGGGUUAUUCCAAUAUUAUUGUGGAAUCUGAUAAAGGUUUCUUGAGGCAGUUGCUGAUCCGAAAAGCUUCUUCCAUCUUAACUGCUAUUGGGUGUAGGACUUUUAUUGGAAGAAAGGAUAAAAGAAAGGAAGUAAUAUUUGAUUAAGGAUAUAAGAAAGGAAGUAAUAUUUGAUUAUUCCGGAUUACUUAUGGUUAAGUAUAGCAAUAAUUUUUGGGAAUAUCAAUCCUAUUAGUUCAUGGAUUUUAGAGGUGCUAAAGAUCUGUAUUAGGGUUUUCUUUAUGGGCGAGAAACCUAAUACUCUCACCUAUAAAUAUAAGGCUUAGGUCCCACUUUUAUACACAUUAUUCUAGCACAAAACACUACCCCAUAUAGGAGUGCAUAAGGCGUGUAGAGAGAGAUGAAGAUCUUUGCUUGUUCGUUGCUGAUCAUGGUUCAAUCUUGUUCAUAUCAAUGGCUUCUCAAGGUUAGUACUUGCAUAUCA